This 1121-nucleotide long non-coding RNA is filed under the name Sorghum bicolor (sorghum). Its description in RNAcentral is "long non-coding RNA (SBIC_LNC016608)". Lineage: Eukaryota; Viridiplantae; Streptophyta; Magnoliopsida; Poales; Poaceae. The record is from RNAcentral.
AGCAAACAGGAUCUAACCUAUAUGGGCCUAUGACCCGGUAAACAACAGCGGCUAUUAAUAUCUGACAAGCAUCAGGAGAUUGACAAACAACGCAUGCAAUUCCGAGGCAAAGCUUCACCCUACAGUACAAGCUUCGUCCGGGGUCAACAAUUGGCUCCAGAUAUGAUUGUCGUCCCCAGCCAAACAAAAGAUGGGCUGCUGAGCACUAAACGCCACUCUAAGGCCUUGUUUAGUUCGCAAAAAUUUUCAAGAUUCCCCGUCACAUCGAAUCUUACGGCACAUGCAUGGAGCAUUAAAUAUACAUGAAAACAAAAAUUAUUUGCACAGUUCAUCUGUAAACCGCGAGAUAAAUCUUUUGAGCCUUGUUACUCUAUAAUUGAACAAUGUUUGUCAAAUAAAACGAAAGUGAUACAGUGCCGUUUUUCACAAGUUUUUACGAACUGAACAUGGCCUAACUCCAACCAACAUGGUCGAUCGAUCCCAACAAUACAGAGGCAGAUCUGAAACCGCGUGGAGUACGUAGCUGGCUACUAGCUUGAUCCAUAUACGAUACGAGGAGACAGACAAAAGAACUGUAGUCUGUAGCUAGAUCACCGACUGUCGACUGGCCGGCCGACGUCGUUUUCCCUGGGUUUAGGCCACCAUGAAAAUCAAAAAGUUUUUCAAGCUGUCACAUCGAAUCUUACGGCACAUGCAUGAAGCAUUAAAUAUAGACGAAAAUAAAAAAUAAUUAUAUAGUUUGUCUGUAAAUCGCAAGACAAAUCUUUUAAUUCUAGUUAAUCUAUGAUCAGAUAAUAUUUGCCACAAACAAACGAAAGUGCCUUAAUUAAUUUCCUAGCUAUUCCGCUCGCAGAAUAAACGCCAGCUUCCUGUGUCCGACAGAAAAAAAAAAAGAUCUAGUCUGCAUGCAAUGAAAUCAUGCUCCGUGCCAACACAUGUAGCGUUCUCCGUUUCCUCGUAGUAUUCGCUGACGCGAAGCAGGGACGACGGUGCUUCGGCAGCUCGAGCCAUUUCGUAAGAUCGGUGAAUCGCCGAUCAUCUGGAGCUCAGACUUCAUUAUCAGAACAAAAGCGGCGACAGCAGAGGGAGAAAUGAAACAAAUACUCUUAAUGUUCAGCGGG